RNAcentral lists this ribosomal RNA (610 nucleotides) under uncultured bacterium. RNAcentral's name for it is "bacterial SSU rRNA". It matches the Rfam family "Bacterial small subunit ribosomal RNA", at positions 8 to 594 of the family's 1533-position model. The record is from RNAcentral.
AGAGUUUGAUCCUGGCUCAGAACGAACGCUGGCGGCGUGCUUAACACAUGCAAGUCGAACGAGAAAGAGUUCUUCGGAACUUGAGUAAAGUGGCGCACGGGUGAGUAACGCGUAGAUAACCUGUCCUGGUGCCCGGGAUAACCCUUCGAAAGGGGGACUAAUACCGGAUACGUUGAUUAUUCUUAAGAAUAAUCAAGAAAGGUGGCCUCUAUUUAUAAGCUAUCGCAUUUGGAGGGGUCUGCGUACCAUUAGCUAGUUGGUGGGGUAAAAGCCUACCAAGGCUACGAUGGUUAGCGGGUCUGAGAGGAUGAUCCGUCACACUGGCACUGAAACACGGGCCAGACUCCUACGGGAGGCAGCAGUGAGGAAUAUUGCGCAAUGGGGGAAACCCUGACGCAGCGACGCCGCGUGAGUGAGGAAGGCCUUAGGGUCGUAAAACUCUGUCAGAAGGGAAGAAAUGUUAAGAGGUUAAUACCCUUUUAAUUUGACGGUACCUUCAAAGGAAGCACCGGCUAACUCCGUGCCAGCAGCCGCGGUAAUACGGAGGGUGCAAGCGUUGUUCGGAAUCACUGGGCGUAAAGGGCGCGCAGGCGGUUUGAUCAGUCAGAUG